RNAcentral lists this ribosomal RNA (1445 nucleotides) under Streptomyces phaeochromogenes. RNAcentral's name for it is "bacterial SSU rRNA". It matches the Rfam family "Bacterial small subunit ribosomal RNA". Lineage: Bacteria; Bacillati; Actinomycetota; Actinomycetes; Kitasatosporales; Streptomycetaceae. The record is from RNAcentral.
UACACAUGCAAGUCGAACGAUGAAGCCCUUCGGGGUGGAUUAGUGGCGAACGGGUGAGUAACACGUGGGCAAUCUGCCCUUCACUCUGGGACAAGCCCUGGAAACGGGGUCUAAUACCGGAUAACACUCGCCGAGGCAUCUCGGUGGGUUGAAAGCUCCGGCGGUGAAGGAUGAGCCCGCGGCCUAUCAGCUUGUUGGUGAGGUAGAAGCUCACCAAGGCGACGACGGGUAGCCGGCCUGAGAGGGCGACCGGCCACACUGGGACUGAGACACGGCCCAGACUCCUACGGGAGGCAGCAGUGGGGAAUAUUGCACAAUGGGCGAAAGCCUGAUGCAGCGACGCCGCGUGAGGGAUGACGGCCUUCGGGUUGUAAACCUCUUUCAGCAGGGAAGAAGCGAAAGUGACGGUACCUGCAGAAGAAGCGCCGGCUAACUACGUGCCAGCAGCCGCGGUAAUACGUAGGGCGCAAGCGUUGUCCGGAAUUAUUGGGCGUAAAGAGCUCGUAGGCGGUCUGUCACGUCGGAUGUGAAAGCCCGGGGCUUAACCCCGGGUCUGCAUUCGAUACGGGCAGACUAGAGUGUGGUAGGGGAGAUCGGAAUUCCUGGUGUAGCGGUGAAAUGCGCAGAUAUCAGGAGGAACACCGGUGGCGAAGGCGGAUCUCUGGGCCAUUACUGACGCUGAGGAGCGAAAGCGUGGGGAGCGAACAGGAUUAGAUACCCUGGUAGUCCACGCCGUAAACGGUGGGAACUAGGUGUUGGCGACAUUCCACGUCGUCGGUGCCGCAGCUAACGCAUUAAGUUCCCCGCCUGGGGAGUACGGCCGCAAGGCUAAAACUCAAAGGAAUUGACGGGGGCCCGCACAAGCAGCGGAGCAUGUGGCUUAAUUCGACGCAACGCGAAGAACCUUACCAAGGCUUGACAUCGCCCGGAAAGCAUCAGAGAUGGUGCCCCCCUUGUGGUCGGGUGACAGGUGGUGCAUGGCUGUCGUCAGCUCGUGUCGUGAGAUGUUGGGUUAAGUCCCGCAACGAGCGCAACCCUUGUUCUGUGUUGCCAGCAUGCCCUUCGGGGUGAUGGGGACUCACAGGAGACUGCCGGGGUCAACUCGGAGGAAGGUGGGGACGACGUCAAGUCAUCAUGCCCCUUAUGUCUUGGGCUGCACACGUGCUACAAUGGCAGGUACAAUGAGCUGCGAUGUCGCAAGGCGGAGCGAAUCUCAAAAAGCCUGUCUCAGUUCGGAUUGGGGUCUGCAACUCGACCCCAUGAAGUCGGAGUUGCUAGUAAUCGCAGAUCAGCAUUGCUGCGGUGAAUACGUUCCCGGGCCUUGUACACACCGCCCGUCACGUCACGAAAGUCGGUAACACCCGAAGCCGGUGGCCCAACCCCCUUGUGGGGAGGGAGCUGUCGAAGGUGGGACUGGCGAUUGGGACGAAGUCGUAACAAGUAGC